Molecule: ribosomal RNA, 1798 nt
Filed under: Rhipicephalus sanguineus (brown dog tick)
Lineage: Eukaryota; Metazoa; Arthropoda; Arachnida; Ixodida; Ixodidae
Description: SSU rRNA
Rfam family: Eukaryotic small subunit ribosomal RNA
Source: RNAcentral
AACCUGGUUGAUCCUGCCAGUAGUCAUAUGCUUGUCUCAAAGAUUAAGCCAUGCAUGUCUAAGUACAUGCCGAAAUAAGGCGAAACCGCGAAUGGCUCAUUAAAUCAGUUAUGGUUCCUUAGAUCGUUUCUUCCUACUUGGAUAACUGUGGCAAUUCUAGAGCUAAUACAUGCAGUGAGCCUGGAGCCCUUUGGGUAACGGGUGCUUUUAUUAGACCAAGAUCGAUCGGGUUUCGGCCCGUAUUGUGUGGUGACUCUGGAUAACUUUGUGCUGAUCGCAUGGCCACGAGCCGGCGACGUUUCUUUCAAGUGUCUGCCUUAUCAACUUUCGAUGGUAGGUUACUUGCUUACCAUGGUUGUUACGGGUAACGGAGAAUCAGGGUUCGAUUCCGGAGAGGGAGCCUGAGAAACGGCUACCACAUCCAAGGAAGGCAGCAGGCGCGCAAAUUACCCACUCCCGGCACGGGGAGGUAGUGACGAAAAAUAACAAUACGGGACUCUUUUGAGGCCCCGUAAUUGAAAUGAGUACACUCUAAAUCCUUUAACGAGGAUCAAUUGGAGGGCAAGUCUGGUGCCAGCAGCCGCGGUAAUUCCAGCUCCAAUAGCGUAUACUAAAGCUGCUGCGGUUAAAAAGCUCGUAAUUGGAUCUCAGUUCCAGACGAGUAGUGCAUCUACCCGAUGCGACGGCUCGGACUGAACAUCAUGCCGGUUCUUUCUUGGUGCACUUCAUUGUGUGCCUCGAGAUGGCCGGUGCUUUUACUUUGAAAAAAUUAGAGUGCUCAACGCAGGCGAGUCGCCUGAAUAAACUUGCAUGGAAUAAUAGAACAAGACCUCGUUUCUGUUCUGUUGGUUUUUGGAAUACGAGGUAAUGAUUAAGAGGGACGGACGGGGGCAUUCGUAUUGCGGCGCUAGAGGUGAAAUUCUUGGACCGUCGCAAGACGAACUACUGCGAAAGCAUUUGCCAAGAAUGUUUUCAUUGAUCAAGAACGAAAGUCAGAGGUUCGAAGGCGAUCAGAUACCGCCCUAGUUCUGACCAUAAACGAUGCCAACCAGCGAUCCGCCUGAGUUACUCAAAUCACUCGGCGGGCAGCUUCCGGGAAACCAAAGUAUUUGGGUUCCGGGGGGAGUAUGGUUGCAAAGCUGAAACUUAAAGGAAUUGACGGAAGGGCACCACCAGGAGUGGAGCCUGCGGCUUAAUUUGACUCAACACGGGAAAACUUACCCGGCCCGGACACUGGGAGGAUUGACAGAUUGAGAGCUCUUUCUUGAUUCGGUGGAUGGUGGUGCAUGGCCGUUCUUAGUUGGUGGAGCGAUUUGUCUGGUUAAUUCCGAUAACGAACGAGACUCUAGCCUAUUAAAUAGGUGCGGGGUUCCCAGCACCUUACAACCUUCUUAGAGGGACAAGCGGCUCCUAGCCGCACGAAACAGAGCAAUAACAGGUCUGUGAUGCCCUUAGAUGUCCGGGGCCGCACGCGCGCUACACUGAAGGAAGCAGCGUGUCUUUAUCCCUGUCUGAAAAGACUGGGUAACCCGUGGAACUUCUUUCGUGAUUGGGAUAGGGGCUUGCAAUUGUUCCCCUUGAACGAGGAAUUCCCAGUAAGCGCGAGUCAUAAGCUCGCGUUGAUUACGUCCCUGCCCUUUGUACACACCGCCCGUCGCUACUACCGAUUGAAUGAUUUAGUGAGGUCUUCGGACCGAUGUCCGGCGCGGCCUUUCGGUUGCGCCGGUCUGUUGGAAAGAUGACCAAACUUGAUCAUUUAGAGGAAGUAAAAGUCGUAACAAGGUUUCCGUAGGUGAAC